CGGCGAUCAGAGAAGGGGCAGCGAAUAUUCAAGCUACGCAUAGCGGCAUUGCUUGUUGCUCUUCUCAUUGGUUUCACCUUAUUGGUUUCCCUGGCCCAGGCUCGAUCACCUCCUACCGCCGUGACAUAGCUGGGAUGCUGCUGACUGGCGUAAAACAAUACUCACUCACUCACUCAACACGAGGCACAAGAAUGUGAACCUACCAAUCCAGAAUCUAUCGGAAGCAUCCGCUAUGCCGUCAUUGAACAUAUUGGCGUCGGCCUCGACCUUUGCAAUGCUGGUGACCUUGCCGCUCUCCCAGAGGCUCCACGCAUGAAACAUGAUGACAUGACAGUUCAGACAUUCGGUAUACUGAUGGACAGAAAUAAGGAACGACUGUGUUUGUCACCCGAAAAUUGUUUGGCAAUGCAGAGAAUACACCAGGUACCGCUUCAAUGAAAAAUAAUUCGUUGACAUUUCUUAACA
RNAcentral lists this unclassified non-coding RNA (465 nucleotides) under Haliotis rufescens (red abalone). Its description in RNAcentral is "putative ankyrin repeat protein RF_0381, transcript variant X2". Lineage: Eukaryota; Metazoa; Mollusca; Gastropoda; Lepetellida; Haliotidae. The record is from RNAcentral.